GAUAAAACCCAGGCAAGCUAGGCUCUGGUUAAGUAGUUUCUCUUGAGGGCAGACCUUGUUAAGAACAGAACGCUCAGGUGUAUUUCUAAUUGGUUCCUUUUCCCUUCCUCCUCUUGGAAGCAUGAGCCGAUUUUUCUCUGAUAUUUACUGUGAGAACCUGGUAAAGAUUCAGGAAGUAAAACUCACAAAUUAUGGGGCCUCCUAGAUGACUGGGUUCCCCUGGAGUUUUUCACUCUCAGAGUUGUCCACACUGAGUCUCCAACAAUUCUUCAGUUAUAGUUCAGGUUUCCUUAUGCUGGCACUGGUUCCCAUGGAGGCUGCUGCUCCGGAGAGCAUGCGGCCUUCCUGCGAGGAACACAGUCUGAGGAAACAUACAACUCUCACAUGAUUGUUCAAGUGCAAAUUCUGCGCCUCUUGAUCACAGAUCGUGCCUUAUGUGCAGAGCUAUUUCUUAACUUCAGUCUAUCCUGGUGACCUCCUAAUGGGAGAGUCAAAGGAAAACCAACUCCUUCGUUCUCCUCUUCAGUGUUUACCAAACUGUUCUCCUCAAUGAAAACAUACCGUCCCACUUCUAUCAGCAGAGUUCAAUGAAACAAACAGAACUACUAUUUGUCUCUGUCGGACCCUGGUUUUCAUAUUUGAUGCUGGAGCUCCAAGACUGCAGUGCAGGCAGUUAGGAAAGAAAGACGCAUAAGGACGGAUAGAUGGAUAAAAGGAAGAGCAAAGAUAAACUGGGACUUGUGCAAAAACUGGAACCCACAAGGAUUAACUGGAACCCUUUUCAGUUCUCAUUGCUCCCGAGUGUGAUGAGACUGGUGUCCUGCAUGAGAAGCUGCUGCCCCUCUUCAUGGAGCUAAACACGCAUCUGGCCCAGGAUCCUGAGAAGCUGAAGGAGGCUCCAGGGGAACUUAUAUUAGUUGCAGACCUGCUGCUGCCCCACCUGUACAAGUUCAGCCUGCAGAAAACAACCUGUGUGAGCUACAAAAGUGCCCAAGGACCUUGCUGUAGGCUUCUGCACGUAAAGAUGAGUAGAGCGGCUGCUUUGCUUCUGUGCCCCUAAAUUUUUACAAAGAUAUCUCUUACGGCCCACUCUCUUCACAAACAUACAGGCUAAGAAUAUCCUGGGAAAAGCAGUUCAGCUUAUCUAAGUUACCACAUUACAAAGCCAAUGCAGUCCACCUUUUGUCACUUAGUACCCAUAUAUCUCUCUUUAAACACAAUAAUUUCCAAUAAAAACAGUAAUAAAGUCAUGCUUCCCCUGACACAAUACAACUUUUCCACUGACUUUAAUCACAGGACUUGAGUGUAUUAAGAGAUCUCCCUGGGGGUACACCUGUGUUCCAGACAUGCUAUUGUGAGUCUGCGUUCUGUAGUAGCAACCCACCAUUCACUUAAUUGUCAGAGUCAGUUACCCAGCCAGAGCCGAAAUCUCCUUCUUUGCACAUUGAUUCAUUGCCACGAGGAGCUAAAAGUGGUUAGGUUGGCAUCUCAAAUUCCAGUUCAAUAAAAUAAUUAUUUUGUCAUUGAUAUAAGCAUUUCUCCUUUUGGAUUUAAGACUUCUCAACCAGUAGAACCUAAAGUCACAGGGCAAUGGAAUCUUUUGUUUUCCCUAAUGGAUCACUUGUGGUAAUAGUGAAAGGAAGUACUUCUCAUUUCCACCCUUGGAUUCACAGAUCCAUGAAUCUUGGCCACAGGAGAAGCAUCUCCAUGUAUAGCUGCUGGUUUAGAGCAUAUAUCACAUCCUGGAGAAAACUGCCCCACAUCUACAAGGGUUUACAACCAAAAUACAACCAUAAGUAAGAAUUCAAAAGAUCCUUGUUCUGUUUUAUCAUCCAGCUCUUUCAAGAUAAUGAGGAAUGUGUACAUCCAAUAAAUGUCAUGGACCUGAGCUCAUUGCCAAACUUCGUUGGCUAGGAAAUUAUUUGGUUGGUCAGAAAUGAUGUUGUGUGUUAUACCAACAUGGUGAAUAUGGCAUUCUAUAAGUCCAUGGGGAGUUACUUUGGCAGAAGCAUUGUAGACAGGGAAGGAAAAUCCAUAUCCAGAGUAAAUGUCUACUCCAGUGAAAACAAAGUAUUGCCUCUUCCACCUGUUGAGUUGACUGCUAAUCCCAGGGAAUGGUGCCAUAACAGGGGCUAAGUGUUGGUUUCUGCUGUGGACAUAUUGGCACUCAGCAGUGGCUGUAGCCAGCUGUGCCCUGGUGAGUGGAAAUCCUAUAUUCUGAUCCCAUGUAUAACCUCUAUCACUGCUGCUGUGGUCACUUUGUUCAUGAGGCAAUUUGGCAAUGACAGGAUUGGCUGAGAGCAGGAUGAUUGAUACUCAGAGCAAUGGUCACCUUAUUUUUCUCCAUACCACCUACAACUGCCAGACAUAGGGAAUUUGUUUGUCUGUUUGUCUUUAUUGGCUGUUUCCCCACAUUAGAAUGUGAAGUCCAUUGACAGCAGGGUUUAUUGACUAUUUUGUUCACUGAUGUAUUCCCAGGACAUAAAAAGGUAUUUGAAAUGUAACGUAUAUACUCAAAAAAUAGUUGUCAAGUUAAAAGAAUAAUUAAACUGUAUAAAUAGCUUAUGUAUGACAACUAUUUUUAUUCCUAAUUUAUAGAUAAGAAAGCUGAGAGUCAGAGAUGUUGUUGCUUACCAAAUGCCAUUCAUCUAUCAAGUGGUAGAGCUGGGAUUCACACCCUGUUUGUCUGACUUACAGACUGUACUUUUAACCAGGAUAAUAGAUUACCUCUUGUUUUGGAAUAUUGAAUUUUUUGAUGAAGUAAAACACUGUCAGAAAGAGUUUUCUAUUUUGAAAUUUGAGUGUGAUGCAGUAGAAAUCCUGCACUAAAUCAAUCAAAACUGUGACCACUGUUGGUAUCAUCUGUGCUUUCAAAGAAAGAUGCAAACAUUUUGGAUCCAUCUGUGGGUUUUCCAGGAUCUGAUUGUACUAGAGAGACAGAAAUUGCAUUUCAAGACAUGCCAAGUUUGGAAGACAAUAGUAAACACCUCGUCCUAUCAUUUAGGGCUCCUGGAGAGUGACUGUCCAGC
This is a long non-coding RNA of Equus caballus (horse), 3029 nucleotides long. Lineage: Eukaryota; Metazoa; Chordata; Mammalia; Perissodactyla; Equidae. The record is from Ensembl.